GACGAACGCUGGCGGCGUGCUUAACACAUGCAAGUCGAACGGAAAGGCCCUGCUUUUGUGGGGUGCUCGAGUGGCGAACGGGUGAGUAACACGUGAGUAACCUGCCCUUGACUUUGGGAUAACUUCAGGAAACUGGGGCUAAUACCGGAUAGGAGCUCCUGCUGCAUGGUGGGGGUUGGAAAGUUUCGGCGGUUGGGGAUGGUCUCGCGGCUUAUCAGCUUGUUGGUGGGGUAGUGGCUUACCACGGCUUUGACGGGUAGCCGGCCUGGGAGGGUGACCGGCCACCUUGGGACUGCGAUACGGCCCAGUAUCCUACGGGAGGCAGCAGUGGGGAAUAUUGCACAAUGGGCGGAAGCCUGAUGCAACAACGCCGCGUGCGGGAUGACGGCCUUCGGGUUGUAAACCGCUUUCGCCUGUGACGAAGCGUGAGUGACGGUAAUGGGUAAAGAAGCACCGGCUAACUACGUG
RNAcentral lists this ribosomal RNA (468 nucleotides) under uncultured bacterium. RNAcentral describes it as "partial 16S ribosomal RNA". It matches the Rfam family "Bacterial small subunit ribosomal RNA", at positions 28 to 507 of the family's 1533-position model. The record is from RNAcentral.